Molecule: ribosomal RNA, 598 nt
Filed under: uncultured bacterium
Lineage: Bacteria
Description: bacterial SSU rRNA
Rfam family: Bacterial small subunit ribosomal RNA
Source: RNAcentral
CCUACGGGAGGCAGCAGUGAGGAAUUUUCUGCAAUGGGCGAAAGCCUGACAGAGCAAUACCGCGUGAGGGAUGAAGACUUACUGAGUUGUAAACCUCGGUGCCUUAAGGAAGAAGAUCUGACGGUACUUAAGGUGGAAAGCAUCGGCUAACUCCGUGCCAGCAGCCGCGGUAAGACGGGGGAUGCAAGUGUUAUCCGGAAUUACUGGGCGUAAAGCGUCUGCAGGUGGUUUUAUAAGUCUGCUGUUAAAUCUUGAGGCUCAACCUCAAAUCUGCAGUGGAAACUAUAAGACUUGAGUAUAGUAGGGGUAGAGGGAAUUUCCAGUGGAGCGGUGAAAUGCGUAGAUAUUGGAAAGAACACCGAUGGCGAAGGCACUCUACUGGCUAUUACUGACACUCAGAGACGAAAGCUAGGGGAGCAAAUGGGAUUAGAUACCCCAGUAGUCCUAGCCGUAAACGAUGGAUACUCGAUGUUGGACGUAUCGACCCGUUCAGUAUCUUAGCUAACGCGUUAAGUAUCCGCCUGGGGAGUACGCUCGCAAGAGUGAACUCAAAUGAAUUGACGGCGUGAGACGNGCGACGACGACGACGAGGGAGAGG